GACGAACGCUGGCGGCGUGCCUAAUACAUGCAAGUAGAACGCUGAAGGAGGAGCUUGCUCUUCUGGAUGAGUUGCGAACGGGUGAGUAACGCGUAGGUAACCUGCCUGGUAGCGGGGGAUAACUAUUGGAAACGAUAGCUAAUACCGCAUAACAUUGACUAUUGCAUGAUAGUCAAUUAAAAGGUGCAAAUGCACCACUACCAGAUGGACCUGCGUUGUAUUAGCUAGUUGGUGGGGUAACGGCUCACCAAGGCGACGAUACAUAGCCGACCUGAGAGGGUGAUCGGCCACACUGGGACUGAGACACGGCCCAGACUCCUACGGGAGGCAGCAGUAGGGAAUCUUCGGCAAUAGACGGAAGUCUGACCGAGCAACGCCGCGUGAGUGAAGAAGGUUUUCGGAUCGUAAAGCUCUGUUGUAAGAGAAGAACGAGUGUGAGAGUGGAAAGUUCACACUGUGACGGUAUCUUACCAGAAAGGGACGGCUAACUACGUG
RNAcentral lists this ribosomal RNA (495 nucleotides) under uncultured bacterium. RNAcentral describes it as "partial 16S ribosomal RNA". It matches the Rfam family "Bacterial small subunit ribosomal RNA", at positions 28 to 507 of the family's 1533-position model. The record is from RNAcentral.